UGUGCGAAGGGCGGCUAACUGGAACGACCUUGACGUGAGGGACGAAAGCCCAGGGGCGCGACCGGAUUUAGAUACCCGGUAGUUCCUGGCCGUAAACGAUGUGACUUGGUGUUUGGAUGGGCUUCGAGCUGUUUCAGUGCCGAAGGGAAGCUGUUAAGUCCACCGCCUGGGAAGUACGGUCGCAAGACUGAACUUAAAGGAAUUGGCGGGGGAGCACCACAACGCGUGGAGCCCGCCGCGUUUUUGAUUUAUAACGCUGACGCGAUUCCAGAGAGGCAGCCGUAUGGUAGCCAGGUUGGUGUCCCUGCUUGACAAGCUGAGAGGAGGUGCAUGGCCGCCGUCAGCUCGUACCGUGAGGCGUCCUGUUAAGUCAGGCAACGAGCGAGACCCAA
This 392-nucleotide ribosomal RNA is filed under the name uncultured rumen archaeon. RNAcentral describes it as "bacterial SSU rRNA". It matches the Rfam family "Archaeal small subunit ribosomal RNA", at positions 663 to 1055 of the family's 1478-position model. The record is from RNAcentral.